ACAGAGGUCCCGAGCGUUGUUCGGAUUCACUGGGCGUAAAGCGUGCGCAGGCGGUGAUGUAAGACAGGUGUGAAAUCCCCGGGCUUAACCUGGGAACUGCAUUUGUGACUGCAUCGCUGGAGUGCGGCAGAGGGGGAUGGAAUUCCGCGUGUAGCAGUGAAAUGCGUAGAUAUGCGGAGGAACACCGAUGGCGAAGGCAAUCCCCUGGGCCUGCACUGACGCUCAUGCACGAAAGCGUGGGGAGCAAACAGGA
RNAcentral lists this ribosomal RNA (253 nucleotides) under uncultured prokaryote. Its description in RNAcentral is "partial 16S ribosomal RNA". It matches the Rfam family "Bacterial small subunit ribosomal RNA", at positions 525 to 777 of the family's 1533-position model. The record is from RNAcentral.